Molecule: long non-coding RNA, 998 nt
Filed under: Salmo trutta (river trout)
Lineage: Eukaryota; Metazoa; Chordata; Actinopteri; Salmoniformes; Salmonidae
Description: lncRNA (ENSSTUG00000049616.1)
Source: RNAcentral
GGCUUACACAGACAGGCCACAAUAUGGAACAGAUGGUCUUCAGGGACGUGACCACGUUGAUGACCACUCUCUGAGAACCUCCUCAGCUCAACCCUGAGCUGCAGGACAGGAGUGCUGAGGUGCAGAGGCUCCAGAGGUCAUUGGCUGAGCUACAUGGGCGAGAGAUGGAGUGGGAGAGAGAGACAUCCGCCCUGCAGGGCCAGCUGGGCCUUGCCAGAGAGGAGCUCCACAGCGCCAUCCUCAGGAGGCAGGCACAGCAGCAGAAGGAAGAGCUGUUUGGUGAGCUGCAGAGGGAGGUGGACAGACUGAAGAAUGAGAGACAGGAGAUGCGAAAAAAGCUUUGUGGUAGAGAAGAGGAGCUGAAGAGGCUGAGAGACGAGCAGCAUCAGCUCAAGGACAAGGUGAGGGAGAGCGAUGUGCAGGCUGUGUGGCUGCAGAGCCAGGCAGACGUGGUGGGUCGGGAGCUGUGGGAGGAGAGUGCCCAGCGCGACAGGGAGCUGUGGGAGUGGAGGGACCGCUACCAUGCUGUCUCAGAGGGACUGAGGUUGAGGGAGGCUGGGCUUGAGGAGGUGCAGAGGGCCAGGGACACAGCCCUCAGAAGCCUGAGAUUACAGGAGGAGAAGACCCACAGUCUGGGGGCCCAGAGGCAGGAGAUGCAGCACAGCCUGGAGGGCCUACAGGACAGGCUUGCCCAGAAGGAGGAGAUGGUCGUGGCUCUCAGAGUGAAGCUGCAGGACCAUGAAGAAGACGCCCGUGUUCUCCGCCAACAGCUGCUCUCCUCCCAAGAUGCACUGCAGCAAGUUACUGCCGAGCUGAGGUCAUGUAAAAGAGAGAGGGAGAAGCAGGAUAGCCAGUGUGUGGAGACAGAGGAGAGACUGGCUGAGAUCAGAGCUGAUCUGGUCCAACUACAGCAGCAGUAUACCACCUGCUAUGCCCAGCUGGUCCAGGAGGAGGCUGGGGUGGGCAGGCUGAGGGAGGAGCUGCGACCUGAGCCAUGA